RNAcentral lists this ribosomal RNA (235 nucleotides) under uncultured bacterium. RNAcentral describes it as "partial 16S ribosomal RNA". It matches the Rfam family "Bacterial small subunit ribosomal RNA", at positions 96 to 334 of the family's 1533-position model. The record is from RNAcentral.
UGGCGGACGGGUGAGUAAUGUCUGGGAAACUGCCUGAUGGAGGGGGACAACUACUGGAAACGGUAGCUAAUACCGCAUAACGUCGCAAGACCAAAGAGGGGGACCUUCGGGCCUCUUGCCAUCGGAUGUGCCCAGAUGGGAUUAGCUAGUAGGUGGGGUAACGGCUCACCUAGGCGACGAUCCCUAGCUGGUCUGAGAGGAUGACCAGCCACACUGGAACUGAGACACGGUCCAG